UGCUCACUUUGGUAGCAAGUUUACAAAAUUGGAAUGAUACAAAGAAGAUAAGCAUGGCCCCUGCACAAGAAUGAAACUCAAAUUUGUGAAGUAUUCCAUAUUUUU
Choloepus hoffmanni (Hoffmann's two-fingered sloth) is the source of this 105-nucleotide small nuclear RNA. NCBI's taxonomy places the organism in Eukaryota, Metazoa, Chordata, Mammalia, Pilosa, Megalonychidae. The record is from Ensembl.